RNAcentral lists this long non-coding RNA (361 nucleotides) under Nicotiana tabacum (common tobacco). RNAcentral describes it as "long non-coding RNA (NTAB_LNC003305)". Lineage: Eukaryota; Viridiplantae; Streptophyta; Magnoliopsida; Solanales; Solanaceae. The record is from RNAcentral.
UUGUAGCAGGUCCGUCGGUGGCAUUGCUUGUGGCGAGCAGUCAGCUGUUGGCAGGGGAAGGUGGUGCGCUGUGCGUGUAGUGUCACAAGGUGCUGCCUGCGUGGUGCUUGUUCCACUGUGCGAGCAGUCAGCUGUUGGCAGGGGAAGGUGGUGCACUGUGCGUGUAGUGUCACAAGGUGCUGCCUGCAUGGUGCUUGUUCCGCUGUGCGGCCAUUGUGGGCUGUUCAUCAUCAUAACUGACGCCGACUUGCUUGGGAUUGAGGCAUUGUUGUUGUACUUGUGGAAUAUAUUGUGUUACUAAAAAGCAUUAGACUCACCCAGAUCUUUACCGACUUCUACUCUUUCCGUGAGGUCUUUGCAC